This 496-nucleotide ribosomal RNA is filed under the name uncultured bacterium. Its description in RNAcentral is "partial 16S ribosomal RNA". It matches the Rfam family "Bacterial small subunit ribosomal RNA", at positions 28 to 507 of the family's 1533-position model. The record is from RNAcentral.
GAUGAACGCUGGCGGCGUGCCUAAUACAUGCAAGUCGAGCGAACAGACGAGGAGCUUGCUCCUCUGACGUUAGCGGCGGACGGGUGAGUAACACGUGGAUAACCUACCUAUAAGACUGGAUAACUUCGGGAAACCGGAGCUAAUACCGGAUAAUAUAUUGAACCGCAUGGUUCAAUAGUUAAAGACGGUUUUGCUGUCACUUAUAGGUUGAUCCGCGCCGCAUUAGCUAGUUGGUAAGGUAACGGCUUACCAAGGCGACGAUGCGUAGCCGACCUGAGAGGGUGAUCGGCCACACUGGAACUGAGACACGGUCCAGACUCCUACGGGAGGCAGCAGUAGGGAAUCUUCCGCAAUGGGCGAAAGCCUGACGGAGCAACGCCGCGUGAGUGAUGAAGGUCUUCGGAUCGUAAAACUCUGUUAUUAGGGAAGAACAAAUGUGUAAGUAACUAUGCACGUCUUGACGGUACCUAAUCAGAAAGCCACGGCUAACUACGUG